GACGAACGCUGGCGGCGUGCCUAAUACAUGCAAGUUGAGCGCUGAAGGUUGGUACUUGUACCAACUGGAUGAGCAGCGAACGGGUGAGUAACGCGUGGGGAAUCUGCCUUUGAGCGGGGGACAACAUUUGGAAACGAAUGCUAAUACCGCAUAAAAACUUUAAACACAAGUUUUAAGUUUGAAAGAUGCAAUUGCAUCACUCAAAGAUGAUCCCACGUUGUAUUAGCUAGUUGGUGAGGUAAAGGCUCACCAAGGCGAUGAUACAUAGCCGACCUGAGAGGGUGAUCGGCCACAUUGGGACUGAGACACGGCCCAAACUCCUACGGGAGGCAGCAGUAGGGAAUCUUCGGCAAUGGACGAAAGUCUGACCGAGCAACGCCGCGUGAGUGAAGAAGGUUUUCGGAUCGUAAAACUCUGUUGGUAGAGAAGAACGUUGGUGAGAGUGGAAAGCUCAUCAAGUGACGGUAACUACCCAGAAAGGGACGGCUAACUACGU
This 496-nucleotide ribosomal RNA is filed under the name uncultured bacterium. RNAcentral's name for it is "partial 16S ribosomal RNA". It matches the Rfam family "Bacterial small subunit ribosomal RNA", at positions 28 to 506 of the family's 1533-position model. The record is from RNAcentral.